RNAcentral lists this ribosomal RNA (463 nucleotides) under uncultured Spirochaeta sp. Its description in RNAcentral is "bacterial SSU rRNA". It matches the Rfam family "Bacterial small subunit ribosomal RNA", at positions 920 to 1382 of the family's 1533-position model. Lineage: Bacteria; Pseudomonadati; Spirochaetota; Spirochaetia; Spirochaetales; Spirochaetaceae. The record is from RNAcentral.
CCCGGCACAAGCGGUGGAGCAUGUGGUUUAAUUUCGAUGAUACGCGAGAAACCUUACCAGGGCUUUGACAUAUACAGGAAUGUUGUAGAGAUACAGCAGCCGCUUGCGGUCUGUAUACAGGUGCUGCAUGGCUGUCGUCAGCUCGUGCUGUGAAGUGUUGGGUUAAGUCCCGCAACGAGCGCAACCCUAUCAUCUGUUGCCAGCAUUUAAGGUGGGGACUCAGAUGAGACUGCCGGUGACAAACCGGAGGAAGUGGGGACGACGUCAAGUCAUCAUGGCCCUUAUGUCCUGGGCUACACACGUGCUACAACGGCCGGUACAGAGUGAAGCGAAACCGCGAGGUGAAGCAAAACGCAGAAAGCCGGUCUCAGUACGGAUUGGAGUCUGAAACUCGACUUCAUGAAGCUGGAAUCGCUAGUAAUCGCGCAUCAGCCAUGGCGCGGUGAAUACGUUCCCGGGCCUU